GAUGAACGCUGGCGGCGUGCCUAAUACAUGCAAGUCGAGCGAACAGAUGAGGAGCUUGCUCCUCUGACGUUAGCGGCGGACGGGUGAGUAACACGUGGAUAACCUACCUAUAAGACUGGGAUAACUUCGGGAAACCGGAGCUAAUACCGGAUAAUAUAUUGAACCGCAUGGUUCAAUAGUGAAAGACGGUUUUGCUGUCCCUUAUAGAUGGAUCCGCGCCGCAUUAGCUAGUUGGUAAGGUAACGGCUUACCAAGGCAACGAUGCGUAGCCGACCUGAGAGAUUGAUCGGCCACACAGGAACUGAGACACGGUCCAGACUCCAACGGGAGGCAGCAGUAGGGAAUCUUCCGCAAUGGGCGAAAGCCUGACGGAGCAACGCCGCGUGAGUGAUGAAGGUCUUCGGAUCGUAAAACUCUGUUAUUAGGGAAGAACAAAUGUGUAAGUAACUAUGCAAGUCUUGACGGUACCCAAUCAGAAAGCCACGGCUAACUACGUG
This 497-nucleotide ribosomal RNA is filed under the name uncultured bacterium. RNAcentral describes it as "partial 16S ribosomal RNA". It matches the Rfam family "Bacterial small subunit ribosomal RNA", at positions 28 to 507 of the family's 1533-position model. The record is from RNAcentral.